Long non-coding RNA from Dendrobium catenatum, 430 nucleotides. RefSeq lists it as uncharacterized. NCBI's taxonomy places the organism in Eukaryota, Viridiplantae, Streptophyta, Magnoliopsida, Asparagales, Orchidaceae. The record is from RefSeq and is a predicted model, not a curated record. The transcript has 2 exons.
UGCAUCGUCGGCUCCAUUCUGUAGGAGGUCUCUUGGAGGUGGUUCAUCAAUUCAACUGCUUCUUUCGAAUAGGCAAAUUAGGAAUGCGAGUGGGAGAUUGCUGGAAGAAAUUACUUCUGUUCAUCAAAAGGCCCCAACCCGAUCUUGAAUAAAAUAAAUUAUUGAGCUGAAGAUUUUGACUCAAUCGCACAAAGAAUCGAGUCCAUGAAAAUUGAACUCACGCAAACUUGUUUUGCGUCCUGAGCUGAAUGGAAAGCCCAACAACUAGAGCAUCAGAUGUGAAGCACGAACAUUGAAUCAAAUCGAAGGGCUCUUAUUUUUUGUGUAAUGACAUUGUGGUAUAGGAUUUUAUAAACCCGGAUGGGUGGUUUCGAUUUAUUUUUUUACUCGGCAAGAUCUUUGAUUAUUGACAAUGCAGCUAACAUUAAUA